CCUGAAUCGAUGUGAGAGAGAAAAACAAGCUUCGAUUCGUGAGAGUAGAGGCCGGAGAAAGAAAGAGAAGCUUCGAUUUGGAGUUAGGGUUCGUGAGAGAGAGGACGAUUGCGAGUGAGAGAGAGGACGGCGCUGGUUCUUGCGAAGGUGAGGACGACGCUGGGUUGCUGCGUUUUGGGUGCGAAUUGAAGGUUGCUGGGUUUUGGUUCUUCGUGAAGGUGAGAGGGUGGGUG
Molecule: long non-coding RNA, 233 nt
Filed under: Trifolium pratense (red clover)
Lineage: Eukaryota; Viridiplantae; Streptophyta; Magnoliopsida; Fabales; Fabaceae
Description: long non-coding RNA (TPRA_LNC000825)
Source: RNAcentral